This 470-nucleotide ribosomal RNA is filed under the name uncultured bacterium. RNAcentral describes it as "bacterial SSU rRNA". It matches the Rfam family "Bacterial small subunit ribosomal RNA", at positions 28 to 517 of the family's 1533-position model. The record is from RNAcentral.
GACGAACGCUGGCGGCGCGCUUAAUACAUGCAAGUCGAACGAGAAGCCAGAGCUUGCUCUGGUGGAAAGUGGCGAACGGGUGAGUAACACGUGAGAAACCUGCCCCAAAGAUUGGGAUAAGCCUUGGAAACGAGGUCUAAUACCAAAUACCUUCUUUUAACACAUGUUAAAAAGAAGAAAUGCUCCGGCGCUUUGGGAUGGUCUCGCGAUCUAUCAGCUUGUUGGUGAGGUAACGGCUCACCAAGGCAUCGACGGAUAGCUGGUCUGAGAGGAUGUCCAGCCACAUUGGAACUGAGACACGGUCCAAACUCCUACGGGAGGCAGCAGUAGAGAAUCUUGCACAAUGAGGAACCUUGAUGCAGCGACGCCGCGUGCGGGACGAAGGCCCUAGGGUUGUAAACCGCUUUCAGUAGGGACGAAAGUGACGGUACCUACAGAAGAAGCCCCGGCCAACUAUGUGCCAGCAGCCG